GUGCCAGAAGAGGGGCCCAAAUUCCCAGUUUACAUCUGUGCCUGAAAAGGGGUGUCUAGUGCAGACAAUGCCCCUCCUCCAUUGCCAACAUGAAGAAGCAACUGUACCCCUGAGUUUCCCACUGUCCUUGCUGUGUGACCUUAGCUCUUUAUCCCCAUUGAAAGAUGAAAUUGCCUGCCGCCCAACCUGGGGGAACGCUUUUUCAUCCCUUUCUUGGAGAAUGUCGAACGGAGAAUUGCUGUUAAGAAGAAAUCAAUAUCUUUGGAUGGAAGAGAACUUGCUGCAUUUACAACAAAUCAAUUCGGAGACCUCUUUCCAUCCCUCCCGUCUGGUACCCAGAGGAAUGAGCCUGCGGGGGGAUUGGCUGGCUGCUCUGGAUUCUGACUGCCCUGGGGAAGCGCAUCAGGCGGGACGGCUCAGCUCUGCCGGGAGCGGAGGGCUGUUGCGUGCUGUUGCGUGCUGCUGUCGGUGGGGUGAACCAUGGCUCUGAAGAUUUUGCCCAGGAUGGGGGGAGCCCUCUCUCGCCGAGGCUUCUCCGAGGCCUCAGGCGGGAGGGCAGCGUGAGGUGCUGCUGUGGACUCAGUCUUCCUCUCCGCGGAGGCGGGGAAGAGUCUUUCUGUCUCCUGGACCCCCCUCUGCAUUCCCCGCACACACAGGGGCGGCCUGGCCUGGCUCUGGGCCGCUCCCCCCCGAGAGAAGGAAGCCUGGGGAGGAGCUGCAAAGAGAAGUGUGUCUGGAAGGGAUUCCACCCGUUGCCAUCCCCGGGCUGUCCAGGCUUUGGGAACAUGGAGUGUCCUGUGAGCCUCCUGGCAUUCAUCCCCCUGUGCCCGCGCUGCUCGGCUGCCUAGUGGUCUCCUUACACAGCUCAGGCCUUGCCCUGGCCUUGUAUCUGCCUUGCCCCCCAUGACACCUUUGCUUACGCUGGGCCUUGGCCUGGAAGACCCUCCCCACCCCUGCCUCUCCAAGCCCAGCCCAUCCUCCGAGUCCCCCCCGCCCGCGCCCUCUUUAUUCAGUGCCCUGCUUCCACCCCACGUGUCG
Mirounga angustirostris (Northern elephant seal) is the source of this 1038-nucleotide long non-coding RNA. RefSeq lists it as uncharacterized. NCBI's taxonomy places the organism in Eukaryota, Metazoa, Chordata, Mammalia, Carnivora, Phocidae. The record is from RefSeq and is a predicted model, not a curated record. The transcript is spliced from 4 exons.